CAGCCGCCACGGUAAAACGAAGGGGGCUAGCGUUGUUCGGAUUUACUGGGCGUAAAGGGUGCGUAGGCGGACUGAUAAGUCAGGGGUGAAAUCCCAAGGCUCAACCUUGGAACUGCCUUUGAUACUGUUAGUCUUGAGUUCGAGAGAGGUGAGUGGAACUGCGAGUGUAGAGGUGAAAUUCGUAGAUAUUCGCAAGAACACCAGUGGCGAAGGCGGCUCACUGGCUCGAAACUGACGCUGAGGCACGAAAGCGUGGGGAGCAAACAGGAUUAGAUACCCCAGUAGUCCCUGUCUCUUAUAC
RNAcentral lists this ribosomal RNA (301 nucleotides) under uncultured bacterium. RNAcentral describes it as "partial 16S ribosomal RNA". It matches the Rfam family "Bacterial small subunit ribosomal RNA", at positions 509 to 807 of the family's 1533-position model. The record is from RNAcentral.